Molecule: ribosomal RNA, 169 nt
Filed under: Russula fragilis
Lineage: Eukaryota; Fungi; Basidiomycota; Agaricomycetes; Russulales; Russulaceae
Also listed under: 2 other names
Description: 5.8S ribosomal RNA
Rfam family: 5.8S ribosomal RNA
About the family: 5.8S ribosomal RNA (5.8S rRNA) is a component of the large subunit of the eukaryotic ribosome. It is transcribed by RNA polymerase I as part of the 45S precursor that also contains 18S and 28S rRNA.
Source: RNAcentral
UACAACUUUCAACAACGGAUCUCUUGGCUCUCGCAUCGAUGAAGAACGCAGCGAAAUGCGAUACGUAAUGUGAAUUGCAGAAUUCAGUGAAUCAUCGAAUCUUUGAACGCACCUUGCGCCCCUUGGCAUUCCGAGGGGCACACCCGUUUGAGUGUCGUGAAAUUCUCAA